GAUGAAGAACGUAGCGAAAUGCGAUACGUAAUGUGAAUUGCAGAAUUCAGUGAAUCAUCGAAUCUUUGAACGCAUAUUGCGCUCUCUGGUAUUCCGGAGAGCAUGCUUGUUUGAGUAUCAGUAAGCACCUCAACUUCCAUAUCUUUUUUGAAAUGGGAGUUGGACUUGAGUGAUCCCAACGCUUUUCCUCACCGAAAAGUGGCGGGUUACUUGAAAUGCAGGUGCAGCUGGACUUUUCUCUGAGCUAUAAGCAUAUCUAUUUAGUCUGCCUAAAAAACAGAUUAUUACCUUUGCUGCAGCUAACAUAAAGGAGAUUAGUUCUUGUGCUGACUGAUGCAGGAUUCACAAAGACAGGCUUCGGCCGACUUUGUAAACUCGAUCUCAAAUCAAGUAAGACUACCCGCUGAACUUAAGCAUAUCAAUAAGCGGAGGA
RNAcentral lists this unclassified non-coding RNA (433 nucleotides) under soil metagenome. RNAcentral's name for it is "partial contains 5.8S ribosomal RNA, internal transcribed spacer 2, and large subunit ribosomal RNA". The stretch from base 1 to 120 matches the Rfam family "5.8S ribosomal RNA", at positions 35 to 154 of the family's 154-position model. The record is from RNAcentral.